UAAACGACUCUCGGCAACGGAUAUCUCGGCUCAUGCAUCGAUGAAGAACGUAGCAAAAUGCGAUACUUGGUGUGAAUUGCAGAAUCCCGUGAACCAUCGAGUUUUUGAACGCAAGUUGCGCCCGAAGCCUUUUGGUUGAGGGCACGUCUGCCUGGGUGUCACAC
This 164-nucleotide ribosomal RNA is filed under the name Ligularia atroviolacea. RNAcentral describes it as "5.8S ribosomal RNA". It matches the Rfam family "5.8S ribosomal RNA". From Rfam's summary of the family: 5.8S ribosomal RNA (5.8S rRNA) is a component of the large subunit of the eukaryotic ribosome. It is transcribed by RNA polymerase I as part of the 45S precursor that also contains 18S and 28S rRNA. The record is from RNAcentral. Lineage: Eukaryota; Viridiplantae; Streptophyta; Magnoliopsida; Asterales; Asteraceae.